UAAGGAAUAUUGGUCAAUGGACGCAAGUCUGAACCAGCCAUGCCGCGUGAAGGAUGAAGGUCCUCUGGAUUGUAAACUUCUUUUAUCUGGGACGAAAACGGGAUUUUUAUCUCAAUUGACGGUACCAGAGGAAUAAGCACCGGCUAACUCCGUGCCAGCAGCCGCGGUAAUACGGAGGGUGCGAGCGUUAUCCGGAUUUACUGGGGUUAAAGGGUGCGUAGGUGGAGUUAUAAGUCAGUGGUGAAAUCUCCGAGCUUAACUUGGAAACUGCCGUUGAUACUAUAGGUCUUGAAUUAUCUGGAGGUAAGCGGAAUAUGUCAUGUAGCGGUGAAAUGCUUAGAUAUGACAUAGAACACCAAUUGCGAAGGCAGCUUACUACAUAUAAAUUGACGCUGAGGCACGAAAGCGUGGGGAUCAAACA
This 421-nucleotide ribosomal RNA is filed under the name uncultured bacterium. RNAcentral's name for it is "bacterial SSU rRNA". It matches the Rfam family "Bacterial small subunit ribosomal RNA", at positions 355 to 774 of the family's 1533-position model. The record is from RNAcentral.